RNAcentral lists this ribosomal RNA (1251 nucleotides) under uncultured bacterium. RNAcentral describes it as "bacterial SSU rRNA". It matches the Rfam family "Bacterial small subunit ribosomal RNA", at positions 120 to 1397 of the family's 1533-position model. The record is from RNAcentral.
AGGACCUGCCUCAAAGAGGGGGACAACAGUGGAAACGACUGCUAAUACCGCAUAAGCCCACGACCCGGCAUCGGGUUGAGGGAAAAGGAGCAAUCCACUUUGAGAUGGCCUCGCGUCCGAUUAGCUGGUUGGUGAGGUAACGGCCCACCAAGGCGACGAUCGGUAGCCGGACUGAGAGGUUGAACGGCCACAUUGGGACUGAGACACGGCCCAGACUCCUACGGGAGGCAGCAGUGGGGAAUAUUGCACAAUGGGGGAAACCCUGAUGCAGCGACGCCGCGUGGAGGAAGAAGGUCUUCGGAUUGUAAACUCCUGUUGUUGAGGAAGAUAAUGACGGUACUCAACAAGGAAGUGACGGCUAACUACGUGCCAGCAGCCGCGGUAAAACGUAGGUCACAAGCGUUGUCCGGAAUUACUGGGUGUAAAGGGAGCGCAGGCGGGAAGACAAGUUGGAAGUGAAAUCUAUGGGCUCAACCCAUAAACUGCUUUCAAAACUGUUUUUCUUGAGUAGUGCAGAGGUAGGCGGAAUUCCCGGUGUAGCGGUGGAAUGCGUAGAUAUCGGGAGGAACACCAGUGGCGAAGGCGGCCUACUGGGCACCAACUGACGCUGAGGCUCGAAAGUGUGGGUAGCAAACAGGAUUAGAUACCCUGGUAGUCCACACCGUAAACGAUGAUUACUAGGUGUUGGAGGAUUGACCCCUUCAGUGCCGCAGUUAACACAAUAAGUAAUCCACCUGGGGAGUACGACCGCAAGGUUGAAACUCAAAGGAAUUGACGGGGGCCCGCACAAGCAGUGGAGUAUGUGGUUUAAUUCGACGCAACGCGAAGAACCUUACCAAGUCUUGACAUCCUGCGACGCACAUAGAAAUAUGUGUUUCCUUCGGGACGCAGAGACAGGUGGUGCAUGGUUGUCGUCAGCUCGUGUCGUGAGAUGCUGGGUUAAGUCCCGCAACGAGCGCAACCCUUACUGUCAGUUACUACGCAAGAGGACUCUGGCAGGACUGCCGUUGACAAAACGGAGGAAGGUGGGGAUGACGUCAAAUCAUCAUGCCCUUUAUGACUUGGGCUACACACGUACUACAAUGGCGUUAAACAAAGAGAAGCAAGACCGCGAGGUGGAGCAAAACUCAGAAACAACGUCCCAGUUCGGACUGCAGGCUGCAACUCGCCUGCACGAAGUCGGAAUUGCUAGUAAUCGUGGAUCAGCAUGCCACGGUGAAUACGUUCCCGGGCCUUGCACUCACCGCCCGU